UACGUAGGGGGCAAGCGUUAUCCGGAUUUACUGGGUGUAAAGGGAGCGUAGGCGGCGGAGCAAGUCAGAAGUGAAAGCCCGGGGCUCAACUCCGGGACGGCUUUUGAAACUGCCCUGCUUGAUUUCAGGAGAGGUAAGCGGAAUUCCUAGUGUAGCGGUGAAAUGCGUAGAUAUUAGGAGGAACACCAGUGGCGAAGGCGGCUUACUGGACUGACAAUGACGCUGAGGCUCGAAAGCGUGGGGAGCAAACAGG
This 253-nucleotide ribosomal RNA is filed under the name Pseudocoprococcus catus. Its description in RNAcentral is "Coprococcus catus partial 16S ribosomal RNA". It matches the Rfam family "Bacterial small subunit ribosomal RNA", at positions 524 to 776 of the family's 1533-position model. The record is from RNAcentral. Lineage: Bacteria; Bacillati; Bacillota; Clostridia; Lachnospirales; Lachnospiraceae.